GACGAACGCUGGCGGCGUGCCUAAUACAUGCAAGUCGAGCGCAGGAAACUGACGGAACUCUUCGGAGGGAAGGCAGCGGAAUGAGCGGCGGACGGGUGAGUAACACGUAAGGAACCUGCCUCAAGGAUUGGGAUAACUCCGAGAAAUCGGAGCUAAUACCGGAUAGUUCAUCGGACCGCAUGGUCCGUUGAUGAAAGGCGCUUCGGCGUCACCUUGAGAUGGCCUUGCGGUGCAUUAGCUAGUUGGUGGGGUAACGGCCCACCAAGGCGACGAUGCAUAGCCGACCUGAGAGGGUGAUCGGCCACACUGGGACUGAGACACGGCCCAGACUCCUACGGGAGGCAGCAGUAGGGAAUCUUCCACAAUGGACGAAAGUCUGAUGGAGCAACGCCGCGUGAGUGAUGAAGGUUUUCGGAUCGUAAAACUCUGUUGUAAGGGAAGAACACGUACGAGAGGAAAUGCUCGUACCUUGACGGUACCUUACGAGAAAGCCACGGCUAACUACGUGCCAGCCGCCGUAAAAC
RNAcentral lists this ribosomal RNA (524 nucleotides) under uncultured bacterium. RNAcentral's name for it is "partial 16S ribosomal RNA". It matches the Rfam family "Bacterial small subunit ribosomal RNA", at positions 28 to 526 of the family's 1533-position model. The record is from RNAcentral.